Molecule: ribosomal RNA, 1346 nt
Filed under: uncultured bacterium
Lineage: Bacteria
Description: partial 16S ribosomal RNA
Rfam family: Bacterial small subunit ribosomal RNA
Source: RNAcentral
GACGAACGCUGGCGGCGUGCUUAACACAUGCAAGUCGAACGGAAAGGCCCUGCUUUUGUGGGGUGCUCGAGUGGCGAACGGGUGAGUAACACGUGAGUAACCUGCCCUUGACUUUGGGAUAACUUCAGGAAACUGGGGCUAAUACCGGAUAGGAGCUCUUGCUGCAUGGUGGGGGUUGGAAAGUUUCGGCGGUUGGGGAUGGACUCGCGGCUUAUCAGCUUGUUGGUGGGGUAGUGGCUUACCAAGGCUUUGACGGGUAGCCGGCCUGAGAGGGUGACCGGCCACAUUGGGACUGAGAUACGGCCCAGACUCCUACGGGAGGCAGCAGUGGGGAAUAUUGCACAAUGGGCGGAAGCCUGAUGCAGCAACGCCGCGUGCGGGAUGACGGCCUUCGGGUUGUAAACCGCUUUCGCCUGUGACGAAGCGUGAGUGACGGUAAUGGGUAAAGAAGCACCGGCUAACUACGUGCCAGCAGCCGCGGUGAUACGUAGGGUGCGAGCGUUGUCCGGAUUUAUUGGGCGUAAAGGGCUCGUAGGUGGUUGAUCGCGUCGGAAGUGUAAUCUUGGGGCUUAACCCUGAGCGUGCUUUCGAUACGGGUUGACUUGAGGAAGGUAGGGGAGAAUGGAAUUCCUGGUGGAGCGGUGGAAUGCGCAGAUAUCAGGAGGAACACCAGUGGCGAAGGCGGUUCUCUGGGCCUUUCCUGACGCUGAGGAGCGAAAGCGUGGGGAGCGAACAGGCUUAGAUACCCUGGUAGUCCACGCUGUAAACGGUGGGUACUAGGUGUGGGGUCCAUUCCACGGGUUCCGUGCCGUAGCUAACGCUUUAAGUACCCCGCCUGGGGAGUACGGCCGCAAGGCUAAAACUCAAAGGAAUUGACGGGGCCCCGCACAAGCGGCGGAGCAUGCGGAUUAAUUCGAUGCAACGCGUAGAACCUUACCUGGGUUUGACAUGGAUCGGGAGUGCUCAGAGAUGGGUGUGCCUCUUUUGGGGUCGGUUCACAGGUGGUGCAUGCCUGUCGUCAGCUCGUGUCGUGAGAUGUUGGGUUAAGUCCCGCAACGAGCGCAACCCUUGUUCACUGUUGCCAGCACGUUAUGGUGGGGACUCAGUGGAGGCCGCCGGGGUCAACUCGGAGGAAGGUGGGGAUGACGUCAAGUCAUCAUGCCCCUUAUGUCCAGGGCUUCACGCAUGCUACAAUGGCUGGUACAGAGAGUGGCGAGCCUGUGAGGGUGAGCGAAUCUCGGAAAGCCGGUCUCAGUUCGGAUUGGGGUCUGCAACUCGACCUCAUGAAGUCGGAGUCGCUAGUAAUCGCAGAUCAGCAACGCUGCGGUGAAUAAGUUCCCGGGGCU